Long non-coding RNA from Polyodon spathula (Mississippi paddlefish), 355 nucleotides. RefSeq lists it as uncharacterized. The record is from RefSeq and is a predicted model, not a curated record. NCBI's taxonomy places the organism in Eukaryota, Metazoa, Chordata, Actinopteri, Acipenseriformes, Polyodontidae. The transcript has 3 exons.
CAUAAGAACACGACCGAUGUCUCAAACAAAACUAGCACAGACCUGCGACUGCAGCAGGAUAGCCUACUUAUUAUCAACGUAGGUUUGUUUAAACUAGUUGUAACAAUAUUCUAAUUCUCUUAGGUGCUGUGUUGCUGGUCAAUGUUAAGGGAAUUUCAGUCAAUGUGGAUCCCAUCUUCUACAUUCGGCUCCUCCACCAACCUCAGAAGGGAAGCAGCCGGCACUCACACCAGAAUCCCAUCCAUUGUCAUUACCAGUGAAAGUCAUGCACAGUGCAUCGGAAAGCUAUGUCAGCCCAGAGGAGAGAAUGAAAGAAUUAAUUGCACUAGUGUGGAACACUGUCAAACAUCUCACA